UACGAAGGGGGCUAGCGUUGCUCGGAAUCACUGGGCGUAAAGGGUGCGUAGGCGGGUCUUUAAGUCAGGGGUGAAAUCCUGGAGCUCAACUCCAGAACUGCCUUUGAUACUGAAGAUCUUGAGUUCGGGAGAGGUGAGUGGAACUGCGAGUGUAGAGGUGAAAUGCGCAGAUAUCGGGAAGAACACCCGUGGCGAAGGCGGCACUCUGGGACGGUACUGACGCUGAGACGCGAAAGCGUGGGGAGCGAACAGG
RNAcentral lists this ribosomal RNA (253 nucleotides) under uncultured bacterium. Its description in RNAcentral is "partial 16S ribosomal RNA". It matches the Rfam family "Bacterial small subunit ribosomal RNA", at positions 524 to 776 of the family's 1533-position model. The record is from RNAcentral.